GAGAGAGGGAGGCAGGUUAGGAGGGAGAGAGAGAGGCAGGUUAGGAGGGAGAGAGAGAGGCAGGUUAGGAGGGAGAGAGAGAGGCAGGUUAGGAGGGAGAGAGGGAGGCAGGUUAGGAGGGAGAGAGAGAGGCAGGUUAGGAGGGAGAGAGGGAGGUGAAUAGAGAGGCUUGGGUGUUUUUUUUGUACAAUGUGUUUUGUUGUUGUUGUGUUCUCUGAAUGGCAGGUUGCACUUAAAGUCAUCCAAUCUGCACAGCAAGGCAGAAAUUUACAUCACACAAAAGAGCACAGGCCAAUAGCCACUAGCACAGACCUGUGCAAAACAUAUACAGUACAAUACAAGUCAUUAUAGUCAGCAGUGUGAUUUAUUUGAAAACUUU
This is a long non-coding RNA of Oncorhynchus tshawytscha (Chinook salmon), 379 nucleotides long. NCBI's taxonomy places the organism in Eukaryota, Metazoa, Chordata, Actinopteri, Salmoniformes, Salmonidae. The record is from Ensembl.